Molecule: ribosomal RNA, 440 nt
Filed under: uncultured bacterium
Lineage: Bacteria
Description: partial 16S ribosomal RNA
Rfam family: Bacterial small subunit ribosomal RNA
Source: RNAcentral
CCUACGGGAGGCAGCAGUGGGGAAUAUUGCACAAUGGGCGCAAGCCUGAAGCAGCGAAGCCGCGUGAGUGAUGAAGUAAUUCGUUAUGUAAAGCCUCAUCAGUAGGGGAGAAAAUGACGGUACCUGUGUAAGAAGCCCCGUAUCACUACGUGCCAGCAGCAGUGGUAACACGUAGGGGGCAAGCGUUAUCCGGAUUUUCUGGGUGUUAAGGGAGCGUAGUCGGCAGUGCAAGUCUGGAGUGAAAGGCGGGGGCUCAACCCCCGGACUGCUCUGGAAACCGUACGGCUGGAGUGCGGGAGAGGUAAGCGGAAUGCGUGGUGUAGCGGUGAAAUGCGUAGAUAUCAGGAGGAACACCAGUGGCGAAGGCAGCUUACUGAACUGUAACUGACGUUGAGGCUCGAAAGCGUGGGGAGCGAACAGGAUUAGAUACCCCAGUAGUC